This 463-nucleotide ribosomal RNA is filed under the name uncultured bacterium. Its description in RNAcentral is "bacterial SSU rRNA". It matches the Rfam family "Bacterial small subunit ribosomal RNA", at positions 30 to 507 of the family's 1533-position model. The record is from RNAcentral.
CGAACGCUGGCGGCGUGCUUAACACAUGCAAGUCGAGCGAUGAAGCACCUUCGGGUGUGAAUUAGCGGCGAACGGGUGAGGAACACGUGAAGAAUCUGCCUUCAACUCUGGGAUAACUCCGGGAAACCGGGGCUAAUACCCGGAUAUGAGCCUUGAUCGCAUGAUCGGGGCUGGAAAGUUUUUCGGUUGAAGAUGACUUCGCGGCCUAUCAGCUUGUUGGUGAGGUAAUGGCUCACCAAGGCGACGACGGGUAGCCGGCCUGAGAGGGCGACCGGCCACACUGGGACUGAGACACGGCCCAGACUCCUACGGGAGGCAGCAGUGGGGAAUAUUGGGCCAAUGGAGGAAACUCUGACCCAGCGACGCCGCGUGAGGGAUGAAGGCCUUCGGGUUGUAAACCUCUUUCAGUAGGGAAGAAGCGAAAGUGACGGUACCUACAGAAGAAGCACCGGCUAACUAUGUG